This 491-nucleotide ribosomal RNA is filed under the name uncultured bacterium. RNAcentral describes it as "bacterial SSU rRNA". It matches the Rfam family "Bacterial small subunit ribosomal RNA", at positions 28 to 507 of the family's 1533-position model. The record is from RNAcentral.
GAUGAACGCUAGCUACAGGCUUAACACAUGCAAGUCGAGGGGAAACGAUAUUGGAAGCUUGCUUCCGAUAGGCGUCGACCGGCGCACGGGUGAGUAACGCGUAUCCAACCUGCCCACCACUUGGGGAUAACCUUGCGAAAGUAAGACUAAUACCCAAUGAUAUCUCUAGAAGACAUCUGAAAGAGAUUAAAGAUUUAUCGGUGAUGGAUGGGGAUGCGUCUGAUUAGCUUGUUGGCGGGGCAACGGCCCACCAAGGCGACGAUGCGUAGGGGUUCUGAGAGGAAGGUCCCCCACACUGGUACUGAGACACGGACCAGACUCCUACGGGAGGCAGCAGUGAGGAAUAUUGGUCAAUGGGCGCAGGCCUGAACCAGCCAAGUCGCGUGAGGGAGGACGGUCCUACGGAUUGUAAACCUCUUUUGUCGGGAGUAACGUGCGGGACGCGUCCCGUAUUGAGAGUACCCGAAGAAAAAGCAUCGGCUAACUCCGUG